UACGUAGGGUGCAAGCGUUGCCCGGAUUUAUUGGGCGUAAAGGGUGCGUAGGCGGCGCGGUAAGUCGGGUGUGAAAUCUCGGAGCUUAACUCCGAAACUGCAUUCGAUACUGCCGUGCUUGAGGACUGGAGAGGAGACUGGAAUUUACGGUGUAGCGGUGAAAUGCGUAGAUAUCGUAAGGAAGACCAGUGGCGAAGGCGGGUCUCUGGACAGUUCCUGACGCUGAGGCACGAAGGUCAGGGGAGCAAACGGG
This 253-nucleotide ribosomal RNA is filed under the name uncultured bacterium. RNAcentral describes it as "partial 16S ribosomal RNA". It matches the Rfam family "Bacterial small subunit ribosomal RNA", at positions 524 to 776 of the family's 1533-position model. The record is from RNAcentral.